RNAcentral lists this ribosomal RNA (253 nucleotides) under uncultured bacterium. RNAcentral's name for it is "partial 16S ribosomal RNA". It matches the Rfam family "Bacterial small subunit ribosomal RNA", at positions 524 to 776 of the family's 1533-position model. The record is from RNAcentral.
UACGUAGGGGGCAAGCGUUGUCCGGAAUCAUUGGGCGUAAAGCGCGUGUAGGCGGCCCGAUAAGUCCGCUGUGAAAGUCCAGGGCUCAACCCUGGAAUGCCGGUGGAUACUGUCGGGCUCGAGUCCGGAAGAGGCGAGUGGAAUUCCUGGUGUAGCGGUGAAAUGCGUAGAUAUCUGGAGGAACACCGGUGGCGAAGGCGGCAUCCUGGACCGGCAUUGACGCUGAGGCGCGAAAGCCAGGGGAGCAAACGGG